UACGUAGGGGGCGAGCGUUGUCCGGAGUUACUGGGCGUAAAGGGCCCGCAGGCGGUCGUGUAAGUUCAGACUGACACUCCUCGGCUUCACCGAGGAAGGUGUAUGAAAACUACAUGACUUGAGGGAUAGAGAGGGACAUGGAAUUCCGGGUGGAGUGGUGAAAUGCGUAGAUAUCCGGAGGAACACCAAAGGCGAAGGCAAUGUCCUGGCUAUCAUCUGACGCUCAGGGGCGAAAGCUAGGGGAGCGAACGG
Molecule: ribosomal RNA, 252 nt
Filed under: uncultured bacterium
Lineage: Bacteria
Description: partial 16S ribosomal RNA
Rfam family: Bacterial small subunit ribosomal RNA
Source: RNAcentral